CAUGUCUGUUAAACUCAGAUCGUUUUGA
Molecule: transfer RNA, 28 nt
Filed under: Scinax sp. KAV32
Lineage: Eukaryota; Metazoa; Chordata; Amphibia; Anura; Hylidae
Description: partial tRNA-Val
Source: RNAcentral